Clupea harengus (Atlantic herring) is the source of this 1697-nucleotide long non-coding RNA. Lineage: Eukaryota; Metazoa; Chordata; Actinopteri; Clupeiformes; Clupeidae. The record is from Ensembl.
ACUUGUGGGGUCCUAAAAAGAAAACUUCUUGAAACAAAUGCCUGGGCUACAUCAAAGGCUGCCUGUUCAGCUCAGACUGAGUCCUUCACCUUCCCAAAUGAGCCCAUUAACAGGAGAACAGCGCGCCGGAACAUUCCACCUUCUGCUCCAUUUGCAUUUCACACGAAGGACUAGGGAAAAUGUAGCUAUGUCUUCUUCAUCCCUGCAGACGCUCAGACAGUCUUUUGAAUGAAUGAAUGAAUGAAUGAAUGAAUGAAUUAAUUAAUGAAUGGAUGAAUUGAAAAUAGAUCAAACACUUUAAUGAAAGAAGUGAAAAAAAAUCUAAAUGGAGGGGGAAAGCAUAAUCUAUGAAAGAGUUCUUCAUUCAGAACUAUUACAGACUGGAUUUUGUCUAAAACUAGUCUCAACUCUCAAAGUGAAGAUCUCGAGUCAGCUACGGGCUACAAGCUAAGCGAGCAGAAUGCUAAUGUCUCGAAAUCGGGCAUCGUGGCCAUGGAGCAACCCUACCAGAAUCACUGGAGAUGGGCUCCAGCUGUGCAUCCAGCAUUUUAAUUGUACCACUUCUUUGAUCCUGUUUUCGAACCAUUGGCUUAUUAAUUAUUAAAUGCUCAAAAGAACAUCCUAGCCAGCCAAAACGCCACAAAAAAAAAAAACUUAACCUCUUUUAUUUGACUUUUCCUAGUAAACAAAAUAAAAGUGUGCUGGUGCAUUCACUGAGCCUACCCCUUUAACUUCCCCCACAACUUCCCUUCUUUUCCACAUGAGAAGGCCCAACAGAAACCUUCCUAGUCAAAGGCAUCAUACUGUGUAAAAUACUUCAACUGCAAGAUAUAUAUAUAAAUUCUGAUUUGAGGUGGCUCAUGAGAGAUUCCUUCUGCAGAUAUAUAUAUAAAGAUAUAUAUAAAUUCUGAUUUGAAGUGGCUCAUGAGAGAUUCCUUCUGCAGAUAUAUAAAGAUAUAUAUAAAUUCUGAUUUGAAGUGGCUCAUGAGAGAUUCCUUCUGCAGAUAUAUAAAGAUAUAUAUAAAUUCUGAUUUGAAGUGGCUCAUGAGAGAUUCCUUCUGCAGAUGUGUGCUGAUAGUUUUGUUUCAGUACUGAGCAGAUGAAAAGAGGCAGUGUUCUGUAUGCGUGCAUGUCAUUUUGUGCAGUCUGUUGGGCAUUAAACAUAUAGAAUUAGUUGCAAGUAAUAGACAUCAGAAAGUCUGGCCAUGGACAGAAAGUUAAAAAAGAGAGAGAGAAAGAAAGAGAUAGAGAGGGAGAAAGAAGGAGAGGAAGACACCUUCAAAAUAACAUGCCAGUCGAUACAACGACCACUGUUUUAACAGCACAACUGGAAUGACAUCACCUCAGUGGAACACUAGCAUAAUCAAGACAGACUAACAGUGUGAGAGACAGCGAGAAAGAGAAAAGUGUUGUGUACGUCUGUUUGUGUGUCUGUGUCAGAGUCAAAGAGAGAGAGAGAGAGAGAGAGAGCGAGAGAGAGAGAAAGAGAGGAGGAAGGAAUAGAGGUCAAGGGUGACUCACAUUCAAGGGUGGCGGGUGGGGGAGGCUGGGUCACGGCAGGACAGUGCUCCUCAAAUUUGCACUCUGCACCAGAGAGAGAGAGAGAGAGAGAGAGAGAGAGAGAGAGAGGAAAAUAAACACAUACCAGACAGGUUAAAUAAUACUGCACAAACAGGUUGCAGCAAUGCAUAGUGCCC